UUUUUGUUAACAACGCGACGAGAAUUUGUCGUAGACGGUGCGCUCUCGGCAGCUUGCUGCAGCAUGCACAUGGAGCGUCUAGCAAGUUUUCUGUUUGCCGUCUGUUUCGUCCCGUCGGAGUGCAAGAUUCCAGCCCAUGCAUGGAAAGCUUACAAUAUACGAAAAUUCUUCGAUACGACGGAAGCAAUAUGGACUGUGUAUACAACCGGACCCACCAAUCGUCGAUGUGAGGUUGACUUAGUUCAAGACGUGACGAAAGCUUCAGUUUAUUUCAAGCGACAGUUUUUUCUUGGAGAGAAAAAGAUCUCUAGAAGAAUUCUAGGAACCUUCAAUCCGAAUCGAAAGAAGCACAUGGAAGUCAAUAUUCCAGGUAGCAAUAACACAGCGGCGGAGGAUAUUCUCUACAUGAGUGAGAACAAAGGCUGUGCGGUGAUUAUGAGUACGGCGAGUGCUGAAGGAAAGAAGCACCACACGCAUGACGUCCGAGUACGGAAUUCGUCCGUAUCACGCAGCCCUGGCCAUGAUUGCCUUGCCAUAUUCAGGCAGCAUGAGAAGUGGGAACAAGUCAUCUAUACCAGAGGUUGCCAGCACAUACUUGAUAAAAAGUUGAAAUCUCCUAUGACGAAUAAAAUAUAAGAAGG
Long non-coding RNA from Dermacentor albipictus, 641 nucleotides. RefSeq lists it as uncharacterized. The record is from RefSeq and is a predicted model, not a curated record. NCBI's taxonomy places the organism in Eukaryota, Metazoa, Arthropoda, Arachnida, Ixodida, Ixodidae.